ACUCCUACGGGAGGCAGCAGUGGGGAAUAUUGCACAAUGGGCGCAAGCCUGAUGCAGCCAUGCCGCGUGUAUGAAGAAGGCCUUGGGUUGUAAAGUACUUUCAGCAGUGAGGAAGGUGGGUAUGUUAAUAGCAUAUUCUAUUUGUACGUUAGCUGCAGAAGAAGCACCGGCUAACUCCGUGCCAGCAGCCGCGGUAAGUACGGAGGGUGCGAGCGUUAAUCGGAAUUACGUGGGCGUAAAGCGCAUGCAGGUGGUUGUUAAGUCAGAUGUGAAACGCCCGGGGCUCAACCGUCGGAAUUGCAUUUGAAACUGGCAAACUAGAGUACUGGUAGAGGGGGUUAGAA
RNAcentral lists this ribosomal RNA (344 nucleotides) under uncultured bacterium. RNAcentral describes it as "bacterial SSU rRNA". It matches the Rfam family "Bacterial small subunit ribosomal RNA", at positions 335 to 666 of the family's 1533-position model. The record is from RNAcentral.